Molecule: ribosomal RNA, 468 nt
Filed under: uncultured bacterium
Lineage: Bacteria
Description: partial 16S ribosomal RNA
Rfam family: Bacterial small subunit ribosomal RNA
Source: RNAcentral
GACGAACGCUGGCGGCGUGCUUAACACAUGCAAGUCGAACGGAAAGGCCCUGCUUUUGUGGGGUGCUCGAGUGGCGAACGGGUGAGUAACACGUGAGUAACCUGCCCUUGACUUUGGGAUAACUUCAGGAAACUGGGGCUAAUACCGGAUAGGAGCUCCUGCGGCAUGGUGGGGGUUGGAAAGUUUCGGCGGUUGGGGAUGGACUCGCGGCUUAUCAGCUUGUUGGUGGGGUAGUGGCUUACCAAGGCUUUGACGGGUAGCCGGCCUGAGAGGGUGACCGGCCACAUUGGGACUGAGAUACGGCCCAGACUCCUACGGGAGGCAGCAGUGGGGAAUAUUGCACAAUGGGCGGAAGCCUGAUGCAGCAACGCCGCGUGCGGGAUGACGGCCUUCGGGUUGUAAACCGCUUUCGCCUGUGACGAAGCGUGAGUGACGGUAAUGGGUAAAGAAGCACCGGCUAACUAUGUG